AUGUCUUCGCACCACCUCUCUGAGAUGGACUCCACCACAGAUUCCGUCGCCUCCUCUCCACGCUCCGAACACCUUGCUCCUCAUGAUGCCCAUACACGUGUACGGUUCAUGUGCAGUUUCGGCGGCAAAAUUCUACCUCGUCCGCACGAUAAUCAGCUCUGUUACAUGGGCGGUGAUACGCGCAUCGUCGCCGUCCAUCGCUCCACAUCCUUCUCAGCAUUCCUCACCAAGCUCUCCAAACUCUCAGGAAUUGUCAACGUGAGUGUUAAGUAUCAGCUUCCAAACGAGGAUCUUGACGCGUUGAUUUCAGUGACUACCGACGAAGAUCUCGAGAACAUGAUGGAAGAAUAUGACCGGUUAGCACAGAAUCACAACCCUCGGCUAGCUAGGCUUCGUGUUUUUCUCUUCUCCAAAGGCGAUGAUGACUCACGACCCAGUAGCAUCAACUCACUCAUGGACGGCUCGGUUAAUCGUGAACACUGGUUCUUCGAUGCACUGAAUUCUGGCCUGGAACGUGGCCGUUCCGAGGCGUCCUCGGUCGUGUCCGAAGUUCCCGAUUAUUUAAUUGGGAUGGAGAAUUCCGAAGAGGGCCAACCUCGUGACCCGAAAUUAAGGACACGUCAGCUUUUGCAUGAGGACGUCUCGCUUUCGGACACGGGUUCUCCUGCCCCGGAUGUUUCUUCUCCCUUUUGUUCGACGUCAUCAGCUCCUACUGUACCUUCUAUGCCCCAUCUCCCACCCGUUAAGACUAGACCCGACAACACCGAACAGGUUAUGGAGUCAAAGCAAAGCCAAACAGAGAGUUUUUUGGAGCAACCCAUUUUGCACCCAACCGCAUAUUCGGGUAAUCCCAUGUGGCAUUAUGUUUCAGAUUCUCAUUAUUCUGCUCCUCCCGUACAGCAAAUUCCCGUUUAUUAUGUUCCGGGUCCUGCUCAACCCGGAAAUGUUCAACUUCAACCCGUUCAAAUCCAGACACAGUACGUUCAGCAGUAUCCAGUUCCCGCGGGCCAAAUUCCAAUUGGGUAUCACCAGCCGGCUCCUGGUGUCGGUCAAGCAUACAGGCCAGUUACAUCCUUGGAUCCUUACGACCCGGCAUUAAGAGUGGUUCCUGAUGGUGUGAAUCAACCAGUAUAUUAUGGAGUUAGAAGUUCGGGUCCGGUUCCAGUUUACCCUGGAAUGGCUCCCCAGGGUGGAGAGGAAAUGGCUAGACGUGGAUCGGAUAUGACACCGGGUCGGGUCCCCCACUCAGGACAUUGACAGAUAUACAUUCGAAAGAAUCUUUAAUUUUGCGAGCAUAAUACCAAAAUAUGAAAGUCUGGGCCAUCGGAUAAAGGGUGAUUAACCAAAUAUGCCUUAGUUAAAGCCGAAAAUGGUGUAUAAAUGUAUUCAGAAAUAGUUGUUGCAAGCUUCAAACUUGGCUGAUAGUUGAGUGCCAUCAAGGUGAAAAUCAUGAAACUCAUAAACUUGGACUGACCUUUCUUCCCAAUUCUGGCCAUGGGCUAUAGAUUACAAACUAAGGUUGGACCGUGUCUAUGAAUUGAAGGCCAUCGCUCCGAGCGGUAUUUUGAUUUAAAGCUGGACUGCGUUUGAUAUGAGGACCAGACCAAGCUUAGGGUGGUCCAAUACAAGCCCCCUCCAGUCAGCUGCGACCCUCGUACAGCAGAAAAUUGAUGUUAACUAUGGCCAAUAUGGUCCUAAGUCAACAUAUAUAGACUGUCUGUGUGAGCUAUGAUGGAAAGGUGAGCAGGCUCAACAAGAUUGGAAACAGAAUUUAAUUAGUUACAGGUUGGUCCUCUUCCGAAAGUUUCAUGCAGAUGAAAGGGGUCGACACUGAAUCUGAUGUCGACUACUGCAGCAAUGCCCCUACCUAUGUUGUUUUUAGGUUUAAUUAUUGCAUUAAAUUUGCUUGGUCCAACACCUAAGUUUAGUUCCAGAGGCUACAUUGAUUUUUGUCUUACGCUUCUCCACGUCUCACUCUAAUUGAUUUGAGUCUUAAUUUAGUUAGUAUCAUUAUUGCUGUAACAAUUUGGAGGAUAUAAAUUCAAACACACUUAAACACAUAA
Molecule: RNA transcript, 2063 nt
Organism: Gossypium raimondii (Peruvian cotton)
Lineage: Eukaryota; Viridiplantae; Streptophyta; Magnoliopsida; Malvales; Malvaceae
Exons: 4
Source: RefSeq, a predicted model, not a curated record